This 401-nucleotide RNase P RNA is filed under the name Candidatus Nomurabacteria bacterium. Its description in RNAcentral is "RNase P RNA component class A". It matches the Rfam family "Bacterial RNase P class A". From Rfam's summary of the family: Ribonuclease P (RNase P) is a ubiquitous endoribonuclease, found in archaea, bacteria and eukarya as well as chloroplasts and mitochondria. The record is from RNAcentral. Lineage: Bacteria; Candidatus Nomuraibacteriota. RNAcentral also lists the same sequence under 1 other name.
CUUACAGUUAAGUGGUCGCCCGGCCGUCCAUUUUUUUUGGUAACCCGGGAGGAAAGUCUGGGCAGCUAAGCGCCAAAGUGAUAGUUGUUAACAACAACCGUUCGGCCUUCAAUACGAAAGUCGGAUAGGGAAAGUGCCACAGAAAAUAUACAUACUUCUUCUUAAAGGAGCAAUGGUGAAAAGUAUACUUCUCGCGGUGACGCGAAGGAGUUGGUAAACCCUAUCAGCUGCAAGGUGGAGUCGUUAUUUUUCACUGAUUUAAGUGAAGUUAGAGGCGUAUUUUAAAAACGGCUUGAUUAAAUCCGCGAUUUAAGAGCAGUGGAGUGAUUCACUGCCAAGAUAGAUGACCACAGUUAAUUUAUUAACUUACAGAACCCGGCUUAUUUUUAACUUUAAGAAAA